Irineochytrium annulatum is the source of this 73-nucleotide non-coding RNA. The record is from the annotation of a GenBank genome assembly. Lineage: Eukaryota; Fungi; Chytridiomycota; Chytridiomycetes; Chytridiales; Chytridiaceae.
GGUUGAGUGGUGUAGUGGUUAUCACACCUCCUUUACACGGAGUAGGUCGUGGGUUCGAACCCCACCUCGAUCA